This 2494-nucleotide long non-coding RNA is filed under the name Mus musculus (house mouse). RNAcentral's name for it is "long non-coding RNA chr15:20586179-20588673". Lineage: Eukaryota; Metazoa; Chordata; Mammalia; Rodentia; Muridae. The record is from RNAcentral.
AUAACAUUAAAAAGUAUUUCAUUAUUUAUCAAAUUAUAUAUCUCCAGAUUUUUCACUGCAAUUAAUUUCCAAUAGUUUCAAAAUUGUCUUCUCCAUAAUUUAAAUAUUAUAUUAUGGAAUAUUCAUGUUGAAUUCAUUUGUAAACAUCUAUAAUUUAUGAAAUAUAAUUUAGUUACAUUUUGGUAUUACAGAAAAGCUUGCUAUAAUAAAGUAAUUUCAAUUUUAAUAUAAAAUUUUGGAAUUUUUCUCAUUUUGAUGAAUGUGUAUGUAUAUAAUAUGCUUAUGGGCAAGACAGACAUGCUGCAAACAUGAAUGUGCAAAUCAGAAAGCAGAUUGUAGCAUCUAUAAUCUUCUGCCCUUGUGUAGAUACUGUAGAUUGAACUCUGGUGUCCAACAAGUUCUUAUAUUGGCUGAGUUAACUUGAAGACCCAUAAUGCACUAUUUUUAAAGACAGAGAUCAUCUUACUUAAAUUAUUACCCUUGUUGAAAAUGACAUGAAGUCUUUGAGUCUAAGAAGUGUCAGCUGCACCCUCCUUAUGCCAAAUGCAGAAUGAUUACCUGUGAACUCAUCAAUAGAAAUAGAAAUCAAUAACAGAUCACAGAAUGUGCAUAAAUUCAGUUCUAGGAAAACAUUCAAUACUUAUUUGAUUUUGACAAUAUACAAAGUAAUAAGUAUUUAUGAAGCAAACAUUGCAGACCCCAAAUAAAUUAAAUAUUUAACCUUUCUUGAUAUUAUUUCUACAAAUGUAAAGGAACUGGAAACUUAGUGUCACACAGCCCACACAUGUUUUGAUUACAAUUUGUUUUCUUUUGUUAUUUUCUUUUAUUCAUUUUUUGGUGUCUGUGGGUACAUCUAUUGAAAUUGUUGAUUUAUGUUUUAAUAUAUUUGGUAUGUUUUACAGAGAAUUCAGUUACUUUAAUGAAACAUAUAUUCAUGAAAUCAUACAUGCAUACAGGCAUAAGUUCAAAAUUAUCAGGUCUAAAUCUCAUCACCACUAAAUGUCUUACUGUUUUUAUUUUUUGUUUUUGUUUGUUUUAAUUUAAAUUAUCUUAUUUAUUUACAUUUCAGCCUUUGCCUCCGCCGAGUCUCUCCUUCCCUAGAUCUUCAUCUCAUUCCUCCUCUCCCUUGCCUACAAGAGGGUGCUCGUCAGCCAAGACUCCCCUUAUCUAGGGCCUUCUCCCACUGAGGUCAGACAAGGCCUGUAUUUCUGCCAGAGGCCUUGGGCCAGCUCUUGUAUGCUCCAGAUUCGUAGUUCCGUCUCUGUGAGCUUUCUGGUUAAUUGAGACUGCUGAUGUAUUCUAUUCAGCUUCUUCAAUCCUUUUGGGUCUUUCAAUCCUUCCCCUAAUUCCACAAUAGUGGUCCCUGACUUUAGUCCAAUGAUUGCAUGUAACUAUUUGCUUCUUUCAUAGUCAGCUGCUGGUAGGUCCUCUUGGAAGACAGCCAUGCCAGGCUCAUGUGUGCAUUAUAGCAUAAUAGUGUCAGGCCCUGUGUCACCUCAUGAGAUGGAUACCAAGUUUGUCUGUCUUUGCUUCAAUCUCGUCUUCAUUUUUGUCCCUGCAGUUCUUUUAGACAGGAACAAUUCUGGGUCAGGAAAUUAGAACACCGAUGGCAAAGGCUCUAAGAUCAACAAUUGAAAAAUGGGACCUUAUGAAACUGGAAAGCUUCUGUAAGGCAAAAGAUGCAGCUAAUAUGACAAACUGUCAGCCUAUAGGUUGAGAAACAAUCUUUACUAACCCUACAUCCAACAGAGGGCUAAUAUCCAAAAUAUAUAAAGAACUCAAGAAACUAUCCUCCAAAAAAACAAAUAAUCUAAUUAAAAAUGGGGUUCAGAGCUAAACAGAGAAUUCACAAAAGAAGCAUCUCAUGGAGUAGAAGCACUUAUAGCCAUGUUCAAUGUCCUCAGUAAUCAGAGAAAUGCAAAUCAAAAUGACCCUGAGAUUCCACCUCACACCAGUUAGAGUGGCUAAGAUCAAAAACUCAAGAGAUAGCACAUGCUGGUAAAGAUGUAGAGAAAUAUUCCUUCUUUGUUGGUAGUAUUGCAAGCUGGUAUAACCACUUUAGAAAUCAAUCUGGCAGUUCCUCAGUCAAUUGGAAAUAAUUUUACCUGAAGAUCCAGCUAUACCACUAUUUGGCAUAUACACAAAAGAGGGCUCACCAUGUGACAAGGACACAUGCUCCACCAUGUUCGUGGCAGCCUUAUUUGUAAUAGCCAGAAACUAGAAACAACCCAACUGUUCCUCAUCCAAAGAACAGAUACAGAAAAUUUGGUUCAUUUGCACAAUGGAAUACUAUUCAGCUAUUACAAAUUAGGACACCAUGAAUUUUGCAGGCAAAUUGAUGGAACUAGAAAAUAUUGUCCUGUGUUAGGUAACACAGACCCAAAAUGACACAUAAGGAAGGUACUCACUGAUAAGUGCAUAUUAGACAAAAAGUACAGAAUACCUAGGAUCCAACCUACAGAACAUAAUAAGUAUAACAAGCAGAAAGGCCCAA